RNAcentral lists this ribosomal RNA (400 nucleotides) under Agathobaculum sp. RNAcentral's name for it is "bacterial SSU rRNA". It matches the Rfam family "Bacterial small subunit ribosomal RNA", at positions 97 to 513 of the family's 1533-position model. Lineage: Bacteria; Bacillati; Bacillota; Clostridia; Eubacteriales; Butyricicoccaceae. The record is from RNAcentral.
GGCGGACGGGUGAGUAACGCGUGAGCAAUCUGCCUUUAGGAGGGGGAUAACAGUCGGAAACGGCUGCUAAUACCGCAUAAUACGUUUGGGAGGCAUCUCUUGAACGUCAAAGAUUUUAUCGCCUUUAGAUGAGCUCGCGUCUGAUUAGCUGGUUGGCGGGGUAACGGCCCACCAAGGCGACGAUCAGUAGCCGGACUGAGAGGUUGAACGGCCACAUUGGGACUGAGACACGGCCCAGACUCCUACGGGAGGCAGCAGUGGGGAAUAUUGCGCAAUGGGGGAAACCCUGACGCAGCAACGCCGCGUGAUUGAAGAAGGCCUUCGGGUUGUAAAGAUCUUUAAUCAGGGACGAAAAAUGACGGUACCUGAAGAAUAAGCUCCGGCUAACUACGUGCCAGCA